RNAcentral lists this ribosomal RNA (289 nucleotides) under uncultured bacterium. Its description in RNAcentral is "partial 16S ribosomal RNA". It matches the Rfam family "Bacterial small subunit ribosomal RNA", at positions 30 to 320 of the family's 1533-position model. The record is from RNAcentral.
AUUGAACGCUGGUGGCAUGCCUUACACAUGCAAGUCGAACGGCAGCACGGGGGCAACCCUGGUGGCGAGUGGCGAACGGGUGAGUAACAUAUCGGAACAUACCCUAGAGUGGGGGAUAACGUAGCGAAAGUUACGCUAAUACCGCAUACGAUCAAGGAUGAAAGUGGGGGAUCUUCGGACCUCAUGCUCAUGGAGUGGCCGAUAUCUGAUUAGCUAGUUGGUGAGGUAAAGGCUCACCAAGGCGACGAUCAGUAGCUGGUUUGAGAGAACGACCAGCCACACUGGAACU